GCGGAUAUGGCGGAAUUGGUAGACGCAAUGGGUUUAGGUUCCAUCGGGUAAAACCAUACGGGUUCAAGUCCUGUUAUCCGU
RNAcentral lists this transfer RNA (81 nucleotides) under Gormaniella terricola. RNAcentral describes it as "tRNA-Leu". It matches the Rfam family "tRNA". From Rfam's summary of the family: Transfer RNA (tRNA) molecules are approximately 80 nucleotides in length. Their secondary structure includes four short double-helical elements and three loops (D, anti-codon, and T loops). Lineage: Eukaryota; Viridiplantae; Chlorophyta; Chlorophyceae; Chaetopeltidales; Chaetopeltidaceae. The record is from RNAcentral.